CUCGUAGGCGGUUCAACAAGUCGGUCGUGAAAGCCCGGGGCUCAACCCCGGGACGCCGGUCGAAACUGUUGUGACUAGGGUCCGGUAGAGGUGGGUGGAAUUCUCGGUGUAGCGGUGGAAUGCGCAGAUAUCGAGAGGAACACCAGUAGCGAAGGCGGCUCACUGGGCCGGUACCGACGCUGAGGAGCGAAAGCAUGGGGAGCAAACA
RNAcentral lists this ribosomal RNA (208 nucleotides) under uncultured bacterium. RNAcentral describes it as "partial 16S ribosomal RNA". It matches the Rfam family "Bacterial small subunit ribosomal RNA", at positions 568 to 774 of the family's 1533-position model. The record is from RNAcentral.